AGAGUUUGAUCAUGGCUCAGAACGUACGCUGGCGGCACGCCUAACACAUGCAAGUCGAACGAAGUAGCAAUACUUAGUGGCAGUCGGGUGAGUAACAUGUAGGUAUCUGCCCUUUGGCCUGGAAUAACACGAGGAAACUUGUGCUAAUACCGGAUAAGUCUUUACGGAGAAAGCUUUAUGCACCAUUGGAUGAGCCUGCACUUGAUUAGUUUGUUGGUGGGGUAAUGGCCUACCAAGACUGUGAUCAAUAGCUGAUUUGAGAGGAUGAUCAGCCACAUUGGGACUGAGACACGGCCCAAACUCCUACGGGAGGCAGCAGUGGGGAAUCUUGCACAAUGGAGGAAACUCUGAUGCAGCGAUGCCGCGUGAGUGAAGAAGGCCUUUGGGUUGUAAAGCUCUUUCGUCGGGGAAGAAAAUGACUGUACCCGAAUAAGAAGGUCCGGCUAACUUCGUGCCAGCAGCCGCGGUAAUACGAAGGGACCUAGCGUAGUUCGGAAUUACUGGGCUUAAAGAGUUCGUAGGUGGUUGAAAAAGUUGGUGGUGAAAUCCCAGAGCUUAACUCUGGAACUGCCAUCAAAACUUUUUAGCUAGAGUAUGAUAGAGGAAAGCAGAAUUUCUAGUGUAGAGGUGAAAUUCGUAGAUAUUAGAAAGAAUACCAAUUGCGAAGGCAGCUUUCUGGAUCAUUACUGACACUGAGGAACGAAAGCAUGGGUAGCGAAGAGGAUUAGAUACCCUCGUAGUCCAUGCCGUAAACGAUGUGUGUUAGACGUUGGAAAUUUAUUUUCAGUGUCGCAGCGAAAGCGAUAAACACACCGCCUGGGGAGUACGACCGCAAGGUUAAAACUCAAAUGAAUUGACGGGGACCCGCACAAGUAGUGGAGCAUGUGGUUUAAUUCGAAGAUACGCGCAGAACCUUACCAACACUUGACAUGUUCGUCGCGACUUUAAGAGAUUAAAGUUUUCGGUUCGGCCGGACGAAACACAGGUGCUGCAUGGCUGUCGUCAGCUCGUGUCGUGAGAUGUUGGGUUAAGUCCCGCAACGAGCGCAACCCUCACUUUUAGUUGCCAUCAUUAAGUUGGGCACUCUGAAAGAACUGCCAGUGAUAAGCUGGAGGAAGGUGGGGAUGACGUCAAGUCCUCAUGGCCCUUACGUGUUGGGCUACACACGUGCUACAAUGGUAUCUACAACAGGAAGCAAGACUGCGAAGUUAAGCAAAUCCUUAAAAGAUACCUCAGUUCGGAUUGCACUCUGCAACUCGAGUGCAUGAAGCUGGAAUUACUAGUAAUCGUGGAUCAGCGUGCCACGGUGAAUGCGUUCCCGGGUCUUGUACACACCGCCCGUCACACCAUGGGAGUUGGUUCUACCUUAAGGCAAGGUUUUAAACCCUUGACCACGGUAUAGUCAGCGACUGGGGUGAAGUCGUAACAAGGUAGCCGUA
This 1439-nucleotide ribosomal RNA is filed under the name uncultured bacterium. RNAcentral describes it as "bacterial SSU rRNA". It matches the Rfam family "Bacterial small subunit ribosomal RNA". The record is from RNAcentral.